This 703-nucleotide ribosomal RNA is filed under the name uncultured deep-sea bacterium. RNAcentral describes it as "bacterial SSU rRNA". It matches the Rfam family "Bacterial small subunit ribosomal RNA", at positions 793 to 1498 of the family's 1533-position model. The record is from RNAcentral.
GUCCACGCCCUAAACGAUGGAUGCUAGAUAUAGGGGGUAUCGACCCCCCCUGUGUCGUAGCUAACGCGAUAAGCAUCCCGCCUGGGGACUACGGCCGCAAGGCUAAAACUCAAAGGAAUUGACGAGGGCCCGCACAAGCGGUGGAGCGUGUGGUUUAAUUCGAUGCUAAGCGAAGAACCUUACCAGGGCUUGACAUGUUAGUAGUAGGAACCCGAAAGGGUAACGAUCUCGGGGUAACUCGGGAAGCUUCCACAGGUGCUGCAUGGCUGUCGUCAGCUCGUGCCGUGAGGUGUUGGGUUAAGUCCCGCAACGAGCGCAACCCUCGUCGUUAGUUAUAUUCUCUAGCGAGACAGCCUCCCACAAGGAGGAGGAAGGUGGGGAUGACGUCAAGUCAGCAUGGCCCUUAUGCCCUGGGCUACACACACGCUACAAUGGCCGGUACAAUGGGUUGCUAAAGCGCGAGCUGGAGCCAAUCCCACCAAAGCCGGCCUCAGUUGGGAUUGCAGGCUGCAACUCGCCUGCAUGAACGCGGAAUCGCUAGUAACCGCAGGUCAGCACACUGCGGUGAAUACGUUCCCGGGCCUUGUACACACCGCCCGUCACGUCAUGGAAGCCGAGAACGAUUGAAGUCACUGAGCUAACCCGCAAGGGAGGCAGGUGCCGAGGUCGGGUUCGGUAACUGGGACGAAGUCGUAACAAGGUA